UGCAUCUGUUAGAAUAUUCUUAGUGAAGCUUCCGAUAGAGAGGAGAAAUUCACUUAUUGAAGCUUGAACUUGGUGUCUCCAAUCUGUUUGGACAGUUCAAGAUAAUUCAAACGCGAAACUGAACCACGUUUCUCUCAUAAAGAAAGCUGAAGAUGCCUGGGUCCACUGUGUACCAGGUCACGAUUUUAAUGAUCACUGUGUUCACGCUCGGAGGCUUUGCAGACGCAAAUAGUAAGGCAGUGGUAUCUUCAUCAUCAUGUACGAUCGAAGAACUUGAUACAUGGAAGCUAAUAGCACUAUCGGCCAUUGCAGCUAUGGCGGUUAGCAUCCUGGGAAAUAUUAGCUUGCUAGUCGUUAUACAGGUUGCACAAAACGAUAUACACGCAUUCUAUAUAGCACACCACGGGCUACACAAGAGAUUCAACGGUCUACUCCAACCAGAAGGGAAGCCUGCAUCAAAGUGUUCUGAUCAAGAAAGAAUGGCUGUUUGGCAGAAUGUGGAUUGCCAAGAAAUGUAUAGCUCUUUGGACAAUGUCACAGAAGGCGAAGUUCAUGGCAGAGGGCAAAACACCGUUACUGAGAAU
Molecule: long non-coding RNA, 584 nt
Organism: Sycon ciliatum
Lineage: Eukaryota; Metazoa; Porifera; Calcarea; Leucosolenida; Sycettidae
Exons: 3
Source: RefSeq, a predicted model, not a curated record